AACGGGGGGAACAUGCGAUAUCCUGCCAUAACUGGCGUAUAAGAGUUUUAAGGCUGUCAUAAAUGCAGUUUUCGAUGAAAGCGAAAUACAUCGAUUUGUCAACUGCAGUGACUAUGAGACGAACGAAGAAUGCGGAACUCUCAAAUAUAAGGGGUGACAUCACUGUUACAUUAGACGGGAACCGCCAAUAGCGAUUGCGCUAUCUUCUUUCGUUUUAAUUAUAUACCUGACGCUGCUUAAACGAAAGUGUGGAGCAAACAG
This 261-nucleotide ribosomal RNA is filed under the name uncultured bacterium. Its description in RNAcentral is "partial 16S ribosomal RNA". The record is from RNAcentral.